RNAcentral lists this long non-coding RNA (314 nucleotides) under Physcomitrium patens. Its description in RNAcentral is "long non-coding RNA (PPAT_LNC002253)". The record is from RNAcentral. Lineage: Eukaryota; Viridiplantae; Streptophyta; Bryopsida; Funariales; Funariaceae.
AAUAAGUAAUAAGUGUUAGAUAAGGAGUAGCGACCUUAUUAUCUUAAGAAGAAAAAGUCCAGUGGAAAGGACUAUAUAAGUAGGCACAUGACACGAAGGUUAAUGCGGACAUUAACGCUCAAAGUAGGGGAGAAUGACACCUCCCUAAAGUGUGCAAAGAAGAGGUGACUAACAUGGGGAUUCCACCAUGAGGGAUGGAAGUAAAAAGUGAGUACCAAAAAGAAAAAAUUUCCGAGGUAAUGCAAGGACAGAACUUGGAGACGAUGACUUCUCAGGGAGGUCGUGGAGGACUAAGCCUUCGAGAACUCCCUCGG